RNAcentral lists this unclassified non-coding RNA (877 nucleotides) under uncultured Synechococcus sp. RNAcentral describes it as "partial may contain 16S ribosomal RNA, 16S-23S ribosomal RNA intergenic spacer, and 23S ribosomal RNA". The stretch from base 347 to 419 matches the Rfam family "tRNA". Lineage: Bacteria; Bacillati; Cyanobacteriota; Cyanophyceae; Synechococcales; Synechococcaceae. The record is from RNAcentral.
GUCGAAGGUGGGGCUGAUGACUGGGGUGAAGUCGUAACAAGGUAUCCGUACCGGAAGGUGCGGAUGGAUCACCUCCUAACAGGGAGACAACACAAUGAUUUUGAUGCCUGAGUACUUUUAUUCUUAGGCCGAAAUCCUGUCACCUUAGGUCGAUCGGUACCUCAGCUUUGAAGUCAAGGAUCAGCAGCAAUGUUGAUUGCUUGAUGGAGAUUUUUAGUUCCUAAACUUUGUCUAGGUCACACCCCAAAAGGGAUGAGACUCCUGGGCCAUUAGCUCAGGUGGUUAGAGCGCACCCCUGAUAAGGGUGAGGUCCCUGGUUCAAGUCCAGGAUGGCCCAUUCGGUGUUGGGGGUUUAGCUCAGUUGGUAGAGCGCCUGCUUUGCAAGCAGGAUGUCAGGAGUUCGAGUCUCCUAACCUCCACUGACCGAACUUGAUUCCCAUCUCCAAUUUUUUGGAGUUGAGCUCGAUUGGAGUGUGAUUUAGAUGUGUCCGCUGGAUGAUCCCAGCUUCCUGUCAUUCCAAGUUUUAGAUUUUAAGUCUUAAAUUUGGUUGAUAAGAUGCUGGGCUCGGAUCAAAUAAUCAAGCAAUUGAUGAUUUGAUUUGAAGUUCUAGCAGAACCUUGACAACUGCAUAGGUGAAGUCUGGAAAAACAAAGCAUCUUACAGAUGCAUUGUUUUGAAUCUGAUCUUCUGAAAGGGAGAUUGGAUCUAGAACAAUGAAAAUUCUUUUGAGCAAGAGCCGAGACUCUUAAAUGUUCUUUGAUUCGUGUCGAGCGAAUCAGAGUUUGAUCUUGUUUUUAGCAAUAAAAACUUGAGAAUCUGCUUUCAACGGCGGUAAGCGUUUAAGAGGUUAAUUGGUCAAGCUACAAAGGGCUCACG